CAAACCUUCAAGCUCACGCUUGGUAUUGGGCCUCGUCCUCUCCCCGGACGUGCCAGAAACGUGUAGGCAGCGGUGCCCGUCUCCCCAGCGUAGUCAUUUUUCUACCCGCUCCGGAGCUCAGGCGCAGCCCGCCGGACAACCCCCCCACUAUUUCUAUGG
RNAcentral lists this unclassified non-coding RNA (159 nucleotides) under uncultured soil eukaryote. Its description in RNAcentral is "sequence contains ITS2". The record is from RNAcentral.